GGCGAACGGGUGAGUAACACGUGGGUGAUCUGCCCUGCACUUCGGGAUAAGCCUGGGAAACUGGGUCUAAUACCGGAUAGGAGCCAUUUUUAGUGUGAUGGUUGGAAAGUUUUUUCGGUGCAGGAUGUGCUCGCGGCCUAUCAGCUUGUUGGUGGGGUAAUGGCCUACCAAGGCGGCGACGGGUAGCCGGCCUGAGAGGGUGGACGGCCACAUUGGGACUGAGAUACGGCCCAG
This 234-nucleotide ribosomal RNA is filed under the name uncultured Actinomycetales bacterium. RNAcentral describes it as "partial 16S ribosomal RNA". It matches the Rfam family "Bacterial small subunit ribosomal RNA", at positions 97 to 334 of the family's 1533-position model. The record is from RNAcentral. Lineage: Bacteria; Bacillati; Actinomycetota; Actinomycetes; Actinomycetales.